UAUUGCCUACGGGAGGCAGCAGUAGGGAAUCUUCCACAAUGGGCGAAAGCCUGAUGGAGCAACGCCGCGUGGGUGAAGAAGGUCUUCGGAUCGUAAAACCCUGUUGUUAGAGAAGAAAGUGCGUGAGAGUAACUGUUCACGUUUCGACGGUAUCUAACCAGAAAGCCACGGCUAACUACGUGCCAGCAGCCGCGGUAAUACGUAGGUGGCAAGCGUUAUCCGGAUUUAUUGGGCGUAAAGCGAGUGCAGGCGGUUCAAUAAGUCUGAUGUGCAAGCCUUCGGCUC
This 285-nucleotide ribosomal RNA is filed under the name uncultured bacterium. RNAcentral describes it as "partial 16S ribosomal RNA". It matches the Rfam family "Bacterial small subunit ribosomal RNA", at positions 333 to 610 of the family's 1533-position model. The record is from RNAcentral.